AACGAACGCUGGCGGCAUGCCUAACACAUGCAAGUCGAACGAGACCUUCGGGUCUAGUGGCGCACGGGUUCGUAACGCGUGGGAACCUGCCCUUAGGUUCGGAAUAAUUCCCCGAAAGGGGUGCUAAUACCGGAUAAUGUCUUCGGACCAAAGAUUUAUCGCCUUUGGUUGGGCCCGCGUUGGAUUCGCUCGUUGGUAGGGUAAAAGCCUACCAAGGCGACGAUCCAUAGCUGGUCUGAGAGGAUGAUCAGCCACACUGGGACUGAGACACGGCCCAGACUCCUACGGGAGGCAGCAGUGGGGAAUAUUGGACAAUGGGCGAAAGCCUGAUCCAGCAAUGCCGCGUGAGUGAUGAGGGCCUUAGGGUUGUAAAGCUCUUUUACCCGGGAUGAUAAUGACAGUACCGGGAGAAUAAGCCCCGGCUAACUCCGUG
This 433-nucleotide ribosomal RNA is filed under the name uncultured bacterium. RNAcentral describes it as "partial 16S ribosomal RNA". It matches the Rfam family "Bacterial small subunit ribosomal RNA", at positions 29 to 507 of the family's 1533-position model. The record is from RNAcentral.